This is a non-coding RNA of Gorilla gorilla gorilla (western lowland gorilla), 117 nucleotides long. Lineage: Eukaryota; Metazoa; Chordata; Mammalia; Primates; Hominidae. The record is from Rfam.
GUCUACAGCCAUACCACCCUGAACGCGCCCGAUCUCCUCUGAUCUUGGAAGCUGAGCAGGGUUUGGUUUGGUUAGUACUUGGAUGGGAGAUAAAAGGAAUAGUAGAAGGAAUAUGAC